RNAcentral lists this ribosomal RNA (206 nucleotides) under uncultured bacterium. Its description in RNAcentral is "partial 16S ribosomal RNA". It matches the Rfam family "Bacterial small subunit ribosomal RNA", at positions 1295 to 1500 of the family's 1533-position model. The record is from RNAcentral.
GGACUGCAGUCUGCAACUCGACUGCACGAAGCUGGAAUCGCUAGUAAUCGCAAAUCAGAAUGUUGCGGUGAAUACGUUCCCGGGUCUUGUACACACCGCCCGUCACACCAUGGGAGCCAGGAAUGCCCGAAGCCAGUGGCCUAACCGCAAGGGAGGAGCUGUCGAAGGCAGGCCCGGUAACUGGGGUGAAGUCGUAACAAGGUACC